AACGAACGCUGGCGGCAUGCCUAACACAUGCAAGUCGAACGAUAUCUUCGGGUCUAGUGGCCCACGGGUGCGUAACGCGUGGGAAUCUGCCCUUUGGUUCGGAAUAACAGUUGGAAACGACUGCUAAUAACGGAUGAUGACGAAAGUCCAAAGAUUUAUCGACAGAGGAUGAGCCCGCGUAGGAUUAGCUAGUUGGUGUUGUAGAGGCGCACAAAGGCGACGAUCCUUAGCUGGUCUGAGAGGAUGAUCAGCCACAUUGGUAGUGAGAUACGGCCGUGUCUCCUGCUGCAGGCAGCAGUGGGGAUUAUUGCACAAUGGGCGAUGGCAUGAACGAGCAAGGCCGCUUGAGUGAUUAAGGUCGUGAGGUUGUAAAGCUCUUUUACACUUGAUCAUGAUGACAGUACCGGGAGAAUAAGCUCCGGCUAACUCCGUGCCAGCCGCCGCAGUAA
Molecule: ribosomal RNA, 449 nt
Filed under: uncultured bacterium
Lineage: Bacteria
Description: partial 16S ribosomal RNA
Rfam family: Bacterial small subunit ribosomal RNA
Source: RNAcentral